GAAGGGCCCGAGCGUUGCGCGGACUCAUUGGGCUUAAAGCGUACGUAGGCGGGCUUACAGGCGUUUUGUGAAAGCCCUCGGGCUCAACCGAGGAAUUGCUUGACGAACCGUAAGUCUUGAGGCAAGUAGGGGCUGUCGGAACGAUAGGUGGAGUGGUGAAAUGCGUUGAUAUCUAUCGGAACGCCGAAGGAGAAAUCAGGCAGCUGGGCUUGUCCUGUCGCUGAGGUACGAAAGCGUGGGUAGCGAACGGGAUUAGAUACCCCGGUAGUCCACGCCGUAAACGAUGUGCACUAGAUCGAGGGGAUUCUGACAUCGCUCUCGGUCGAAGCGAAAGUGUUAAGUGCACCGCCUGGGGAGUACGGUCGCAAGGCUA
This 373-nucleotide ribosomal RNA is filed under the name uncultured organism. Its description in RNAcentral is "partial 16S ribosomal RNA". It matches the Rfam family "Bacterial small subunit ribosomal RNA", at positions 527 to 896 of the family's 1533-position model. The record is from RNAcentral.